This 2634-nucleotide ribosomal RNA is filed under the name Triticum aestivum (bread wheat). RNAcentral's name for it is "partial small subunit ribosomal RNA". Lineage: Eukaryota; Viridiplantae; Streptophyta; Magnoliopsida; Poales; Poaceae. The record is from RNAcentral.
AGAAACGAAGGAGCCAGCCAUGUCCGUGUCGUCGGCGGAGAUGGCGGCGGUGAAGACGUCGUCGAACGGGAUGUGGCAGGGCGACGACCCGCUCCACUUCGCCUUCCCGCUGCUCAUCCUGCAGACGCUGCUCAUCCUGCUCCUCAGCCGCGUCCUGGCCCUCCUCCUCCGCCCGCUCCGCCAGCCCAAGGUGAUCGCCGAGAUCGUCGCCGGCAUCCUGCUCGGCCCCUCCGCGCUCGGCCGCAACAAACCCUACCUCCGCGCGCUCUUCCCGCCCUGGAGCGCGCCGGUGCUCGAGUCCGUCGCCAGCCUCGGCCUCCUCUUCUUCCUCUUCCUCGUGGGGCUCGAGCUCGACCUCCGCUCCGUCCGCCGCAGCGGCCGCCGCGCCUUCGCCAUCGCCGCCGCGGGCAUCUCCCUCCCGUUCGCGUGCGGGGUCGGGGUCGCCUUCGUCAUCCGCCGCGCCAUCCCUGGGGCGGACGAGGCCGGCUACGCGCCGUUCCUGGUCUUCAUGGGCGUCGCCAUGUCCAUCACCGCGUUCCCCGUGCUCGCGCGCAUCCUCGCCGAGCUCAAGCUGCUCACCACGGCCAUCGGCGAGACGGCGCUCGCGGCCGCCGCGUUCAACGACGUGGCGGCGUGGGUGCUGCUGGCCCUCGCCGUGGCCAUCUCCGGCAGCGGGGACGACCGGCGCAGCCCGGUGACGUCCCUCUGGGUGCUCCUCUCGGGCGCCGCGUUCGUGGCCGUGUGGAUGCUGGCCGUGAAGCCGCUCAUGUCGUGGGUGGCGCGGCGGUCGGACUCAGGAGGCGGCGGGGGAUCCGCCGUGUGGGUGGCCUUCACGCUCGCGGGCGUCCUCGCGUCCGGCCUCGCCACCGACAUGAUCGGCAUCCACGCCAUCUUCGGCGCCUUCGUGUUCGGGCUCACGGUGCCCAAGGACGGCGGGUUCGCCGGCCGCGUGACGGAGCGCGUGGAGGACCUGGUGUCGGAGCUGCUUCUACCAUUGUAUUUCGCGUCGAGCGGGCUCAAGACGGACGUGGCCACCAUCCGCGGCGGCGGCGCGCUGGGCAUCCUGGCGCUGAUCAUCGUGACGGCGUGCGCGGGGAAGAUCAUGGGCACGUUCGCGGUGGCCAUGGCGUGCGGGAUGGGGGCCAAGGAGGCCAUCGUGCUGGGCGUGCUCAUGAACACCAAGGGCCUCGUCGAGCUCAUCGUCCUCAACAUCGGCAGGGAGCGCAAGGUAUACGGAUUUUGCAGAAAUUCAACCAAAACUUGCGUCUGUUCAUGUUGGUCUGGUUGCAGGUGUUGAACGAGGAGACGUUCGCGAUCCUGGUGCUCAUGGCGCUGGUCACCACCUUCAUCACAACGCCCACCGUCAUGGCCAUCUACAAGCCGGCGCGCGCCACGGGCCGCCGCCGCCUGCACCCGCGCAAGCUCCACGGCCCCACCUCGGCGCCGUCCUCCCCGUCCUCCGCUGCUGGCGGCGCCGCGGGCGCCAACGCCAUGGAGCUGCGCGUGCUGGCGUGCAUCCACGGCGGCCACGACGUGCCGGCGCUCAUCAACCUCAUCGAGACCAUCCGGGGCCACACGCAGCCGCGCCGCCUCGUCAAGCUCUACAUCCUCCGCAUGGUCGAGCUCACCGAGCGCACCUCCUCCAUCCUCAUGGCCCGCGCCGCGCGCCGCAACGGCCUCCCCUUCCUCCGCCCCUACCGCCGCGGCGACGACCAGGUCGACGUCGCCUUCGGCACCUACGCGCAGCUCGGCCACGUCCACGUCCGCCCCAUGACCGCCAUCUCCGCGCUCCACACCAUGCACGACGACGUCGCCGCCGUCGCCGAGGACAAGCGCGUCUCCCUCAUCGUCCUGCCCUUCCACAAGCGCCAGCACGCCGGCCACGGCGGCGGCGACGAGGUCGAGAACCUCGGGCCCGAGUGGCGCGCCGUGAACCGGAGGAUCCUGCGGGAGGCGCCAUGCUCCGUCGCCGUCCUCGUCGACCGCAGCUUUGGUGGAGGCGAGCAGGUGAGCUCCGAGCAGGUCGCGCACGGCGUGUGCGUCCUGUUCUUUGGCGGGCCCGACGAUCGGGAGGCCCUCGAGCUCGCCGGGAGGAUGGCGGAGCACCCCGGCGUGCAGCUCACCGUGGUGCGCUUCCUCGACGGCAAGGCCGGCAGCGAGGAGCACGCAGAGGUCACGCUGCGCCCGACCGACGCCAGGAACGCCGAGAAGAGCUACACCUUCUCCACCGCCGUCGUCAACGGCCACAAGGAGAAGGAGCUGGACGAGGCGGCGGUGGGCGAGUUCCGGCAGAGAAUGGGCGACACGGUGCGGUUCGAGGAGCGUGUGGUGGCCGGCAACGUGAUCGAGGAGGUGGUGGCGAUCGGCAAGAGCCGGGAGUACGGGCUGGUGGUGGCCGGCAGGGGGCGGCUGCCGUCGGCGAUGGUGGCCGAGCUGGCCGUCCGUCCGGCAGAGCACCCGGAGCUGGGACCUAUCGGCGACACGCUCGCGUCGGCAGGGCACGGCGUGGCAUCCUCGGUGCUCGUGGUGCAGCAGCACGACGUGAACGCCGAUGAGGUGCCGGUGUCCGUCGUCCAGAUCGACGGGCAACCCCACGACGGUGAGCACGGCAAGGACGACGUGGCCGAGCCGUAG